GCCCCUGGGGAAGGAAGGCAACACUGAGUCAUCCUCACGAGCAGCAGUGGGCAGGUCCCGUCACUGUGGAGUGCAGCGCCCCCACACCCCAGGGCAGGCUUUGGGGACAUUGUCUCUGCCCACCAUGUGAAAAACUGCAUUCACAACAUAAGAGAUGCCUUCAGAGAAUUUUUGUAACAACACAGACGCACUAAUCAUUCUAGGGACAUCCCAAUCAUCACUGUUCACCUGACGCUAUCAUCGAGGUCUCAGCACUUCCACCCUUUCCUUCCACAUCAGCCCGCUUCCUGCUCUAACACAGAUGCCCUGCACGAGCAGGCACAACAGACUCUAACCCUGCCAGUGCUCAGCAGGUGUGGGACACCAGCACACCUUCCUAGCUUCUCACCUCUAUGGGGAUGUAAAGCAUAAAGCCCGGCUCUCCCGUGUGAGUCAUGCUCAUCACCCGGAUCCCGUUGGCAUAGCCCACACUCAUCUCCUGUGGAAACAAAGGGAGAUAGCGUCAAAACUCCAAGGGAAGUGGAUGGUGUCUGAGGCCAACCCCUCUCCUUAGCUCUGCACCCUUUGUCUGACCCUAAAAGAGACAUGUGAAUGAAAGACUUCCAUCCUCAAAAUGAUCCGCUUUCAGGUCUCCAGGUCAUUAGGGAUGGAACAAAGCCUUUACAAUGUCUUUUCUUUGAGUAUCACCAAUAUCAGGAGUGCUAGCCAAGCUGCUGAUGGAAGUGGAGGCAAAGUCUUGACAAACAGGAAACAUUACUUUUUGCAAAGUCCAGCUAAAGAUUUGUUUUAGGUGCAUAGGGAGCAAUGAAGACCAGACAGUCUCCUCUGGGGCACUCGGAAGACAGUCCUAGGCACCUGCCCACAAAGGAUGAUGUCUGGUGCCCAGAGAACAAGGUUCACCUGUCAUCCUGGGGUCUGAUGUUCAGAACGUGUUCACAGCAGCUCCGUUACCUCUGUCUCAAUUCCUGUUCCUGUGAAGGAAAGUGCUAAGUCCCAGGUGGCACUAAAGCAAACUUUCCACAGGAAGUCGGGCAUCACAUGGUGCUCUGCAGGCACACACGGAUGCAUCACUCAUCAAGAAGCAAGACAUGCCCUGACUGGUUUGGCUCAGUGGAUGAAGUGUCGGCCUGCAGACUGAGGGGUCCCGGGUUCGGUUCCAGUCAAGGGCAUGUACCUUGGUUGCAGGCACAUCCCUAGUGGGGGGUAUGCA
This is a long non-coding RNA of Myotis myotis, 1210 nucleotides long. RefSeq lists it as uncharacterized. The transcript has 3 exons. The record is from RefSeq and is a predicted model, not a curated record. NCBI's taxonomy places the organism in Eukaryota, Metazoa, Chordata, Mammalia, Chiroptera, Vespertilionidae.